GACGUAGGGGGCCAGCGUUGUUCGGAAUUACUGGGUGUAAAGGGUUCGUAGGCGGUGUAGCAAGUCGGGAGUGAAAUCUCUGGGCUUAACCCAGAGGCUGCUUCCGAAACUGCUGUGCUUGAGUGUGGGAGAGGCGCGUGGAAUUGCAGGUGUAGCGGUGAAAUGCGUAGAUAUCUGCAGGAACACCCGUGGCGAAAGCGGCGCGCUGGACCACUACUGACACUGAGGAGCGAAAGCCAGGGGAGCAAACGGG
RNAcentral lists this ribosomal RNA (253 nucleotides) under uncultured bacterium. RNAcentral describes it as "partial 16S ribosomal RNA". It matches the Rfam family "Bacterial small subunit ribosomal RNA", at positions 524 to 776 of the family's 1533-position model. The record is from RNAcentral.